UACGGAGGAUGCGAGCGUUAUCCGGAUUUAUUGGGUUUAAAGGGUGCGUAGGCUGUCCGUUAAGUCAGCGGUAAAAUUGCGGGGCUCAACCCCGUCGAGCCGUUGAAACUGGCAGACUUGAGUUGGCGAGAAGUACGCGGAAUGCGCGGUGUAGCGGUGAAAUGCAUAGAUAUCGCGCGGAACUCCGAUUGCGAAGGCAGCGUACCGGCGCCACACUGACGCUGAGGCUCGAAAGCGUGGGGAGCAAACAGG
Molecule: ribosomal RNA, 252 nt
Filed under: uncultured bacterium
Lineage: Bacteria
Description: partial 16S ribosomal RNA
Rfam family: Bacterial small subunit ribosomal RNA
Source: RNAcentral